GAAGCCACGCCAACCCCGCAACGCCACUGCGUCGUCGCCUCCGUUGAGCGGUCGCCAUCAUCGUGCGAGAAAGGAGAAGGAGCCGUCGAGGGGUCGCUGAGCCGCUGCAGUCACCGUCGCGUGCGUUUUUGUCACAGAAGCUUCCAUUUCCGUCACUUUCAUGUUGCGGAAAGAAAGAACUACGCAUGAGCCAGGGGCCAGGGAAAGGGAACCACUGCCGUUGCAUCCUGGCUAUGCCGCCGUUCAAUCCCAUCGCCAUCCAUAAAGUCGCAAGGAGCAUUUGUCGUUGUUGAUUGAUGGUGCCAGCCUCGUUAUCGCGUCUGUAAGGAGAAAAGGUCACGUGGAGAAUGGAGAGCCGCUGCGUGCCGCCGUUGUUUCACUGUGGCCAUGGAGAGGAACAUGAAUGGAAAAGGAAACAGGGAAGCUGCUACUUGGGAUUUGAGGAAAACGGCUCUGUUCUGCCUCGCCUCUAGGUUCUGCAAGUUGCCAGAGUCCUCAGCCGUCGGGAACCAGCACUGGAGCUGCCCAGAAUCACUACUGCUGCUCUCAUGGGAGUUGGUAUUGGAACCACUGAUGGAGCUGCUGUGUUUAGUGAUUUUCACGAGUUGUGACAUCGAGGAUUGAAAUUGUAGAUAAAUGCUUCUGCCAUGACACAAUGGAACAGAUUGUUGAUUCUUUGUUGUAGUCUCUUAUCUCGCAAGUCACCAGGAAGCCCCAAAUCGCCACUCACCAUCGUCGCACCAUCAUCAUCGCUGCAUUCUUCCCGGCGUCGCUGCUUCUCUCCUCUCUGAGGCUUCACCGCUUCUCCACGGCGUCCUUGCUUCUCCCCUGUUCUGUUUCUAACUCACUGCUUCUGCUUCACUGUCUUGGCUGAUUGUGGAUUGUGCUUCGCUACUGCUGCUUUGCUGCUGCUACUUCGCUGCAUUGGCCGUUUGUGGGUUGUCAUCUGUGAACAAAAACGCCACUGUUCCCCUGUUUCUGCGCUUAUCCUCCACCGUGCGCCACCAGUAGCCGCCUCUGGGUCGACACUGCUCUGCCUCCAUUCUCCCUCCUCUUGCCAUUUUCUGUUUCUGCUUCUUCUGCAGGAAAACUAUGUUGAAGGGGAAAUCGAACUUCAUUAAGGUCAAACUUUUAAGAGCAAAUGUUACAGAGUAAAAGUCAUGAACUUGUGGAUCGGACAUGAUGAUAAAUCUAUUUGCUACUUAGCUAGUUCAACUCUUCUUUGUUAUAUUUUUUGCAACAUUAGAUGAUAUAGUUCGAGGUUGUCAUGAUAGUAUAUAUAUUGUGGUAUUUUGAAUGUGA
Arachis ipaensis is the source of this 1302-nucleotide non-coding RNA. The record is from RefSeq and is a predicted model, not a curated record. NCBI's taxonomy places the organism in Eukaryota, Viridiplantae, Streptophyta, Magnoliopsida, Fabales, Fabaceae.